AGACGACAACAACCGCCACAACUGCAGCCACACAAAGGCGCCUUCCUUCUACUCCCGCUCCCACCCAGGCGGAGGCGCCGAUGAUGCCAAGGAAGCGGCGACCACCUCUCGGCCGCCUAGCGCUCGCUCGCCCUCUUCCCCCUCUAGCUGGGGAAAGGGGGAGGGGACCACCGGGCGCCCUCACCUGGCACAGCUGCUGACAGUAGUCGGUGGCCGCUUCCACGGCCGGUACCCGGCUCUCCCGCAGCUGUAGCUCCAGCUCCUGGAGCCGCUCGCCCAGGCGCUGCAGCUCCGCGACGCAGCCGCCUUCGCCGCAACUCAACCUCUCCUGCUCGGCCUCUUCGUCCGCCAUCUUCACACCCCGCUCCGUCGCGUACGCACCUGGGUCACGUGAUAACACAAUGCCACGUUCGGCGGGGUCACGUGCCGGGCGCGCUUGCACGGCGCCGAGCACGUACAAAGGGCCCGAUGGGGAAGAUAUGGGGGUGGGGAGAGUGGCGCGAGAGAGCCCGAGGGAGGUGAAGGCAAGGGGAAAGGAGAAGGGCGGGGUUGGGGCGGUGCGGAAAACGGCGGUUUACUUACCCCGAGCGGGAAGUGGGCAGCAGCGGCCGAAAGGGGCGGGCUGGUGAAGGCCUGCUCUCGGUCACGUGGGCGCCGCGACGGGAAAAAGCCUAGGGAGGGGCGACCCUCUCCGGCGUCCCGAUCCCGGCGUGGCUUUCCCCAGUCCACGAAGUCUUCUACGGACAUAUCCUCCUGUUCCCCAAGAGGAUGGCACAGGGAGAGUUCUGAGUGGUCUCGGGCAAUGGCUGCAUUUGCUGUUGGCCUGUAAGCAGGCCAGAAGCAGAGGAAGAGAGAGAAGGUAAAACCCGCCCAUGGACCGCAAGCGUGAGAGCCAAGGCAGGACUAUGAACUGUCAAAAUUGUCUCUGACUUCUCACCAGGCCGGAGAGGAGGGAUCUAGUGCGUGAGGCACUACUUGGUUUGGGACAAGUCAGAGGCGAAUAAAAGCUCUUCCUGCCUUGAAGAAGCUUACAGUUUUGUGGGAAAAUGAUCUGCAAUGGGAAUACAUACGAUAUGACAAAUGUUCUAUUAUGAAAAUGCAUGCCUGUAUUCAACUUAGAACAUCAAAGUAAUCUCAGAUACUAACAAGAAUGUCCAACGAAUCUCUACAUAAGUGCAGGCUUUUUUUUUUUUUUUUUUUUUUAAUGAGAAGGAUUGAAAAUACUAUCCCGUGACAGGUCAACCUUGUCUUGGAAAUCUCAGAAAUCUCAAUCUUAUCCAUAGAAAAGUCAUGACUUCUGUGCUUAUGUCCAUUUGUUCUUUAAAUACCAAACUGUCAGCUCAUAGGAACCAUUUACACACACACACUGACACACACACAAACACGCACACCCCUACUUACUGAGAUGUUCCUGGGGAGAUUCGAAGACCUGUUCCAUUGAGAAAACAAGAAUAAGCCCCUGGGGCAAAAGACUCCGCGUCUCUGGGGAACUCAGUAUCCGCGCCGCGAGCACCCAUGCCCAUUUUGAACACAACGCGACUGCUAAGGACGUGGUGUAAUCAUAUGGACCUUCACUCCCAAGAGACUCGAUUUCAGAGAAAAUCUGGGAGACAAAUUUAGAUCCCUACCCGCACCCACGCGAUCAAUAAAGCUGGGGAGACCUUUGGGGGAGGGGACAGAUGUGCUUGCAUCCGGGCCGUGCGUGCCUGCUUCACGGGUUUUCCGGGCAGCACCGGCCCGCACACGCCGGUGCACUCUUUUUCUGGAAUUCUUGAAAUAGCCGGGCCUGAGGACAGUAAGGGAGCUGAGUUGUGUCUGCUACAGACAAGCGGCGCAGAGCCUGGGGGCCAAGCCAGGGAUGCAGGGAGCGCGGCGUUAGCGGAUGACGGAUAGCUCAGGGCUAAGGCCUGGCAGGUCCUUCCUACCCCCGACCCAGUACACCCCGCAGCCCCGCCCUCGCCCCAGCACGCGAGGUGAAAGCGCGAGGCCCGGGGAUGGCGGAGAGCGUGCGCCACUAUCGGGGCGCUGUCUCUUGCCCCGCUCUCGCCCUGGGCCGGAGAACGGAGAAGGUCCGCAGGCCUCGGGCCACGGAGGGCACCAGAUCGGUCCGCUCUGCUCCGCUAACCCAGCCUGCGCCCCUCCACCCCGCCAAGGCCCUGCUGGGCGCUGCGCCGGUUGCUCGCGUCCUCUGUUGUCGCGGAGCCGCCGCCGCCGCCGCCCGCGAACCAGCAACGCCGACACCCAGCAGUUGCAGGCCCGGCGUUUGCCGCCGCGGUUUUUCCACCCAGCACUGAGGAUCAAGCCCGCUGUAGCCUGGCUGCGACUCCCCGCUUGGGAGCAGAGGCCGCCAGGGGCCUCCAGGCCGAGAGAUUCUGGAGCCUUUCCAGGGCGCGGCGGGGAGCGGGGCCUCCGGAAACCCACCCCGGGGAUGCUGGAGUCUGUCCUGCAGAGGCCGUGGCGCGGGCACUGCUGCCUGAUUUCGAAGAGGCUCCAUCAACCUACUCUCUUCCAAAGGGCUGGGCAGCCCAGCCACAGACAGGCAGCCUCUGGAUCUCAGAAGUGAGGGACGGAGUCUAUCCUGGGUUUGGUCCAGUAGAAACCCCCCACCCCCACCCCCAGAGUCUGGGAACCAGUGCUGUGCCCACAGAUGCAAAGAGAAAGAGCAUGGGUUAAAGCGCUAUUGGGAUCGGUUAGACACCACACUUUUCCAAGGAAGACAUUUUCUUCGAGAGGAACAGCAAAAGGAGUCAAUAUAAUGUUAAAAAUAUUAAGGCAGGUGCUGUGCCACAUGUUGAAGUGAUUCCAAAAGCAGAGAAAACAUGGGACUCACAUUUAAGAGGAUUAAUUGUAGCCUUUGAGUUUUUCCCAGAAAAAAAAAAAAGGCUAGCAUAUAUAUUUUCAUAUAUUUAUAUGAACAGGUAAUUAAAUAAGGAGGGAUUUUAAAAAAUUGUCUAUUUGGAUAUCGUUUUCCUUUCCAUUUGAGGAAAAGCCAAAUGCAAAUAAGGAGAAUAAUAUUUAAAGAACAUGCUUUUAAUAGAGCCUCAAUUAUCCUUCUAAUUUAACCAAGAUGAAAAUAAUUGUGAAAUAAAGCAAAAUAAAAUCUUGGAAGCAUAAAUGUGUUAUACAUUGUUCUUUUGUUUGUUUGUUUGAGACGGAGUCUCACUCUGUCUCCCUAGGCUGGAGUGCAGUGGCG
This 3193-nucleotide long non-coding RNA is filed under the name Homo sapiens (human). RNAcentral's name for it is "non-protein coding lnc-CGA-2:2". The record is from RNAcentral. Lineage: Eukaryota; Metazoa; Chordata; Mammalia; Primates; Hominidae.